This is a long non-coding RNA of Rhinichthys klamathensis goyatoka, 224 nucleotides long. RefSeq lists it as uncharacterized. The record is from RefSeq and is a predicted model, not a curated record. NCBI's taxonomy places the organism in Eukaryota, Metazoa, Chordata, Actinopteri, Cypriniformes, Leuciscidae. The transcript is spliced from 2 exons.
UAUUUUAACGAUCUGAAACGCAAGUGUCAAAGCGCAAAGCGCAAGUAACUUUGUGGGCGGAUCCCGGCGCUGUUGCUAUUUUCCCGGCGGGAUAAAUGCCUCUUGCGCCUGGCGCAUAUCUAAAAGGGGUUGGUCUGAAGUAGCUUCAUUAUUCAUAGGUGUGGUUUGGGCCGUGAUGAACGAGGUGCGCUUGUUCCAUGGCGCAAAACUAUUAUAACGGCGCA